GGGUGGCGCCUCCGGAAAAUGGCGGAAUUCCCUUCGGACUGAAGGGAACCCGCUGCACGGAGGCUUGGGUCCUGCCGCUACGGCGCAGCGGGGACCCGCUAAAACCACAGGCGGAAGAAGCCUGUGGACGUGGGACUCGGCGGGCACCGAGAGCGCUCUCUCCCCUUGUACAGGAGCCCGGUAACGGGCUCCGGAGUGGGAGGUGCGUGGUGCUGUGAGUCGACUGCUUCCUCCGUGCAGCAAAGCCGCACUGCCGUUAUCGGAGAGCGCUGCCCUUUUCCUGGACAAUUUGGCAUCUAAAAUAUCUAUCCGUGAGUACCUGAUCUUGGAAGAGUUGAACCACUUUUAAGACUGGUGAAUAAACAAAUAAUAUUGGACUUGAAAUUGAACUUAAUUGGGACUCGGAAUGGGAAGGUCUAAACAGGAAGUCGCCUUCCGUUCUUUUGUUAUGUGAAGAAAGCAAAGACAAAAUAUACUAAAGCUUGAAAAUUAAAUUCUAAGAGAACUAGAAUUCAACAUCUAAGAUUUCUGAACCCCCUUUGACUGCAGGAGAAGAAGGGGGUUGUAUUUGGACUUUUCAAUCCUGCGGAAGUGAGUUUAAAAUAAAGCAAUUUUCCACCGCCCUGAACCAGGAGCGGGCUGUCAGAAUUGACGUUCUGAAGUUUAUCCAGCUCGACAGUUAGUUAAAAGAAGGGUAACAUUUUGAUUCUACUGUUGCCUCUUGAAUUUGGAAGGGGGAAUUUUGGAUAAAGUGUUUCUGGAAAAAGAAAGAUUGUUGCUGUUGCUUUUAUUCCUUUAAAAAAAAAAAAAAUUCCAUCUAGUGGAAUUUAGUGAAAUUGCAACGCAGAGAGAUUAAAAGAGAAGGACUAUUGGACUAUUGUCGUGGGAAAGAAUUUUCUUUGACCUUGAAGGACAAUGCUAGUACAAAGGCUUGAACAAUUGUUCCUGGAAGGUUUUUCAAAACUAAGUGCCCAGCUGGACCAGAUGCGUCAGGAGACGACCUUGAUGAUGGAAGUUACCAGAGCACAGCAGCAAACAAAUGAAAUUCAGUUAAAGGCUAUACAAGCAUAUGAACCUGCUGUAGUGACGGAGGCUUCAGAGAUGGAGGGACCUUUGGACGGGCAAGAUCAGCCUUUGAACUUGAUAAAUGAACUUGGGACAAACCAGAUUCGGAAAGAUGAAAUGUGGUCAGAUUUGGAAAUGGGGGAUGGAUCGACCCCCUCCAUAUGGUUAUUUGGACCUUCCGAGUCUGGUGAUGGGCUAUCAGAGGAUUGGAGUAGCCGAAGUCUCCAAGCUUUGUGGAAAUUUGAAGUGGUAUUAUUUGCUGUCUGGCUUGGGCAAUGGGUUUGGGAUGGACUUGCUGCAAAGGGUCAAAAGCAUUUUCUUGCUGGAGCAUCCACGACUGGAAAGGAAUCAUCAACAAGAGUGGCGAAAGGGGCAAGAAAGAGACUUGAGGGCCUCGGAUACGAGACAACCAGGUUAAGGAGCCGGAUUAUCGAGGUUAAAAGGACUGACAAUCCCGGGUCCAGGGGAGGGGAGGUUGGAAGCUGACUGGACUGAAUUUGACUUAUUAUUUUUUCUUUUUUAUUUUUAAUAUUGGGAAUGCUUACAAAUGUUUGAAGGAUGUUGAAUGAAAUUACAUGGCUUAAGUAAGGAUUGGUAAAUGAUUCGUAAAAAGGUAAUGAUGCAAGAAUUUGGUAAAUAUUGAAUAUAAGCUAUGAGUCUUAAAGUUUUUAUAUGACAAGAGGGAAAAUAGAAUAAGGAAACGUAAUGACAGAUUGUUAUGAAAAACAGAAAGGAUUUGCUGUAAAAAUUAAAAAUUAAGAAACAAAAGAGGGGAGGAGGAGGAAGUCUAGAAAGGAAGUCAAUAGAGAUUGUAAAGGACUUUAUAUUUUUGUUUUUCUGUUUCUCUUUUUUUUCUUUGCGGCUGGGUUUUCUUUUCUUUUUUGUUUAUGUACUAUUUUUGUUUUUUGUAUCCUCAAAUUUUUUUUGGAAAUUUUUGUUGUUAUUCUUUGAAAACUUAAUAAAUAUCAAUUAU
Molecule: non-coding RNA, 2038 nt
Organism: Podarcis lilfordi (Lilford's wall lizard)
Lineage: Eukaryota; Metazoa; Chordata; Lepidosauria; Squamata; Lacertidae
Source: the annotation of a GenBank genome assembly